This is a long non-coding RNA of Xenia sp. Carnegie-2017, 420 nucleotides long. RefSeq lists it as uncharacterized. The transcript is spliced from 2 exons. The record is from RefSeq and is a predicted model, not a curated record. NCBI's taxonomy places the organism in Eukaryota, Metazoa, Cnidaria, Anthozoa, Malacalcyonacea, Xeniidae.
UGACGUAGGUAAAAUUCUCAUUCGAAACAGGCGCUUUCUGAACUUCUCAACCAACUCAUGGAAGAGUUUUCUCUUCUUCAAUAAGCCGUUUAAUUAAUUGUUGUGGUGAAACUGGAGCUGUUGGAAAAUAUCACAAAACUUUAUCAUUUAUGCAUCAAUCAAACAAUUUAAUUCAAUUUAUUUAAUUGGAUUUGUGAAGUUAAUUUUGGGCGACGCAAGUAUACCCAUUUACAUGAUAUAUCAUCGUCGUAUUAUUUGCCAUUCAUAUAUGGCUGAAAACAAUCCGUAGGAGGUUCAAAUAAUCCAUAGACUGUUUGUUAAACAAUGAUUGACUUUUUUGGGUGGCUGUAAACAAUCAUAUACAGUUUGUAAACAAUCCAAAUAAUGGCAAGUAUGGUUUGAAUAUAUGUUAGGAAUGUA